AAACAGUUGUACAAUGGAAGUUCUCAAAAGUAUUCCUAAUUUAAAGGAAUUAGGAAUUCAAGUGGAGUUGAAGCCUUAUGAUGACGACGAUGAUGAUGAAAGAAACCCAUCGAGUUGCUUGGGUUAUAUCUCCCAACUCCAGAAUCUGGAGAGACUUGAAUAUUGGGUUAGCAAUCCUGAGAUAAAGUAUGAGUGUAAUACGAUUUCUCUUUCAAUGUUUCCCCCAAGUCUGAAGGUGUUAACGUUGUCUGGGUUAGGGGGUAGUCCUUGGAAUUACAUGAAUGACAUUGGUUUGCUGCUGCCAAAUCUCGAGAUUCUCAUAUUAGACCACUAUGCAUUUCGAGGCCCAGAGUGGGACAUAACAUCGGGGAGUUUUUUGAAACUUAUUGAACUUGUAAUUGAAGACACCGAUUUGGUGCGAUGNNNNNNNNNNNNNNNNNNNNNNNNNNNNNNNNNNNNNNNNNNNNNNNNNNNNNNNNNNNNNNNNNNNNNNNNNNNNNNNNNNNNNNNNNNNNNNNNNNNNNNNNNNNNNNNNNNNNNNNNNNNNNNNNNNNNNNNNNNNNNNNNNNNNNNNNNNNNNNNNNNNNNNNNNNNNNNNNNNNNNNNNNNNNNNNNNNNNNNNNNNNNNNNNNNNNNNNNNNNNNNNNNNNNNNNNNNNNNNNNNNNGUGUUUGAGAUUGUCCAUCUAUCGAUUUUCAGGCAAAUGAAACAGACGAUCGAGAGUUGCUUCCUCUGCCGCAGGUGAGUUUCUGCUGUCUGUAGAUUACUAGUAACUUGUUCAACAAAUGUCGAGGCCUUUGAAUUACGAGCUGCUGUUUUUGAAGAUCUCUUCGCAGGAGUUCACUUGUUCAAGGCGCCAUAAGGUAACUUCUUUAUAAUGCAUAACCAAUAAAUGAAUCGAUUAACUUGAAAGUAUUGGGCUCGUUAGCUUGCAACACGUUCGUGUACAGCAUUGUGAGCAUCAUAUAUUGCUACUCGUUGACCUCUUUGCAUUAUAGGUAUGAAUCGCCUUAUUGGUGAGGAAUUGCAGGUAGACGGAUCCAACUCGCGUGGAGAUGCAGAAAGAAGCAAACGAAUCGAGCUGAGUCAAGCCGAGUAGAUUCCUCAAGCUCACCGUCGUCUCAGACUAGAAGCAGACGCAGAUAAGACUUGUUGGAGUAACGGAUUCUAGCCAACUGAGGUUCGAUAGCGUGUUCGUGCUCGUACGUAAGAUGAGGUUCCUCUCUUCCACUCUGCCGAAGCCAUUGUGUAGAUGUUGCUAACUCAUAUCAAGUGCUCUUGAUUUUAGAUCGAGUUAUAGAAUUAAUCAAGAUUUGAUGUUAAUUUUAUUAGUAACCGUAGGGGUUGUUGGUUUAGCUAUGAAGUAAACUUUUUUUUUGAUAAAUUACAGCAUUAAAUAAAGAAAUUUAAAGACCGCGUCACAUGAGACUCGAACUCAAGACUAAUUGGGCUUCUCUAUAUAAUAAAUAAGUUUCCGGCCCAAUACAAAAUAUAAGCCCAGCUCCAUCGUUUAUCUUUUAAAUUCUGCCUAACUAUAAUCCAUUUUUAUUCCUUGAAUUGAUAACAAAGAAGCAAUUAAAACACCAAUUUACUCAAAUUAAGCUCAACAAUUCAACAUCAAAAUCCAGAUUUUGAGUUGGGCUGAAUUCCCCAUGGCAUAAUUUUCUUCUAUUCGGACUUGGGCCCAAUAUGUAUAUAAUACACAAAAAAGUAACCUUAAAAUAAAAUAUGUACGUAAUAGGAGUAAAACUAACAGAAAACAUUAUAUGUGAUGCUGAGGCAAUUAAGAAAAAUAAAGUGUGUGCAUUUUAAUUUCCACAUCAAAUACAUAUCUUAAGUUUGUGAAAUGCUAUUGUGUUUUAAGACUGAGGAAAAUAAUUAAAUUAUACUUCCUCCGUCCUCAAAUUAUAACUUCAUAGAAGGAAGGAACACGAGUUUUAAGACGAAAAAGUAAAAAGAUGAAAAGUAAGGAUAAAUGGGGUAUUGAGAGUGGUGAAAAGAUGAAAAAUAAGGGUAAAUGAGGAAUUAAUUGUGGUGGAGUAGUGCCCAAAUAUAGAAAGAUUUUUUUUUUGAACGGACCGAAAAUAAAAGUUAGAAAGUUAUUUGCGGACGGAGGAGUAUGUAUGUUUAGAAUAUCUAGCAAAACCAAUAAAAGAUCACCAUGAACUAUAAUCUUUUUAUCCCUCAAUCCAUCUCACAUUUGAAUUUUCCUGUAUAUAAAUUCAUUAGAAUUUAUAUAUACACUAAUAUAAAAAAAAUGUGUUGGGCACAAACUAUAGAUUGUCUAUUAUAUUCAUAUUACAUACUCCCUUCGUCCCCUAAAUAACUUCUUAGUAGGGGACGACACGAGUUUUAAAGAAAAAUUGUUAAGUGUAUUGAUAAAAAAAAAACUUUUAUAAUUAAUAUUGAAAGUGGUGAAAAUGUGUUAUAAUUAAUAUUGAGAAUGAUGGAAGGUUGAAAAGUAAUAAUAAAUAAAGUAUAUUAGUGGUAGGGUAAUGUCCCAAAAUGAAUAUGAAGUUAUUUGGGGGACUGAAGGAGUAUUUAAUUUUAAGAGUAAUUAUAUAAAGUAUAUAUUAUAUAUCUAGAAGAAUAUAUUAAUUCAUUAGACAUUAAAGUACUACAAAAAUAUGUCAAUUAAUUAUAUUACCUUAUCAUAAAUCUAUUUGAUGAAUCUGAAAAUCUUUUUAGAAUCCUGAAAAAAUAUCCUAUGAAAUCUAACUAUUAACUAAAUAAAUGAAAAUUCAAUAUUAUAUAAAUAAAUAGGUUACAUAUAAAGUGUACUCCCUCCGUCCCACGAAUCUUGAUACGCUUGGUUUCAGCACGGGAAUUAAGAAGUUGUAGAUUAGUAUUUUAAGUGUGUAGUUAAUGAAGUAUAAAAGUGAUAAAGUAGGAGAGAAAAUGUAAUAUAAGUGAUAAAGUUAAUCGAUAGCGUGUUCGUGCUCGUAAAAUGAGUUUCUCUCUUCCACUCUGCAGAAGCCAUUGUGUAGAUGUUGCUAACUCAUAUAUAUAAAGUGCUCUUGAUUUUAGAUCGAGUUGUAGAAAUCAAGAUUUGAUGUUAAUUUCAUUGCACUUAAAUAUUUGUUUUUCUAACUAGUGGUAAUAAUAUGUGUUCUAUUUUAAGUCACAGGCUGUUCCCUCAAAGUUGAGAGUUUGCAUUAUUUUUAUCAAGCAGUUUGAUCGAUUUUGAAUUAUUUAGAUUAUCACAAGGAUUUGCAUAGGUCUGCCUUGCAAUAUUACUUAAUGUUUCUGUUAUAGUCACAGUGUUUGAGAUUGUCCAUCUACCGAUUUUCAGGCAAGUGAGACGUCGCGUUAUCCCAUGAUUUCGAUUGGAUUGUGAAACUUGAGUGCUGAAUUGUGUUUGUAAUCAAAAUUGUUGUAAGUUGGAUUUGUGUGAAAACAUUAAUCGCUUAUUCAGUUCAAGGAUUGUAAUAUUUGUGAGUUAAGCAUAGUUUUAACUUUGUUUUCAUAUUGUGUGUAAUCAGUUUAUGUGUUUUUGGCUUAAAAAUAUAUAGCUUAAAAUUUUAACAUUAUGGCAAUAUACUAAUUAAUUUCUGGCUUCAUUUUUCAAAUUCAUGAGAUCCCUCAGUAGAAGCUCAUCAAUGUGAACAUUUGCUGAGAUGAAGUAUUUGGAUGAACUUUUUCCAAUAGGGCGUGUUUGAUAUUGGCUAAUACACUGUAUUAGCUAAUUUAGUACAGAUCAGUCUAGUGUUUGGUAUUAUUUAGUAAUAAUGUGGAUGACCCGGUUUAAUCCCACGACCCAGUAUUAUUAAUCCAGAUUUCUUAGGAUUAAUUAUACCACCUCUCCCCUAGGAUUAACUUAAACCAAGAUAUUCUGUAUUUAGCCAUGAUAGCAAACACCAACUCAAUAUUAAUAAUCUGUCAUUAUCCACGCUAAAUAUCCUAAUUACAAAUUAUCCAACAUAAUCCUUUACUGAAAACCAAAGAACCCAUGCUGUUGCCGUCUUCUUUUUCUUAUUUUAUCAGUGAUGACUACAGAAAAGCCAUGAUUUGGUGGGAGUUUGUAUGAACAAAAUUAUUGUGGUAAUUAAGUUUGUUCUUCUCCGUUGUAAAUAAAUAACUGCAGGAGUUGUGAGGUUAAAAAUGUUGUUGAUUUAACUAUGAAGAAAAGAAAAGAAUUGAUUAAUUAUCAUUCAUAAAAUUUCUAAAGGCCCAACUGGGCUUCUUCACAUAAUAAACAAAAUUUCGGCCCAAUACAAAAUCAAGGCCCAACUCCAUCGUUUAUCUUUUAAAUUCGGCCUCACUAUUAAAUUAAAAGGCAUCAAAUUCAACUCAAUUUCGUUAGAAGACAUUUCAAAAUCCAUGGCACUUUGGGGUAUGAAAGAAAAUUACUAUCACUUUCAAUUUGGAUUUAAAUGAUUGAAAUAAGAGAAGACUAAAUAAUUCAUAAAUUUCGACCCCUUUUGGAUUUUAUUAUUUUUAAUAAGUUAUUUUUUCAUAAUUAAAUUAAGUUUCACAAUUCUUUACUUCUUUAAUUAGUUUAAUUGCCACAUAACUAAUUAUGAUCUUUCGAGCCUUGAAAAAAAAAAAAAAAAAAAACCCAAGUUAAAAAAUGUGUUGCAAAUAGGGCUGUAUACGAACCGAGCCGAGCCGAAUACCUCCAGGCUCGGGCUCGGUUCGUUAAGAUUUGGUUCGGCUCGAGCUCGAAUUCGAGCCUAAAAAUGAGCUCGAGCUCGGCUCGCUCAUAUAAUACCAAGCUCGAGUUUGGUUCGAAUUCGGCUCGUUAAUUAUUCGUUUAUCUCGAGCUCGAGCUCGGCUCGUUAAUUAUUCGUUUAUCUCGAGCUCGGCUCGAAUUUAAAGCUCGAUUUCAAAUUCAAACUCGAAUUCGAGCUCGGUUCGAAUUAUUUAUAUAUUAAGGUUUCAUUAAAAUAAAAAAAUUAUAUUUGUUCAUAUAUUACUAGACUAUUUAUGAAUCAUAAUUUAUAAUUUAUUUUUAACAAAUAGAUAAUUUAUCAAGUUAGUAGUAAUUUUUUUUUUUAAUUAUGAGUGUUAUUUUUAUUAUUUAAAAAAUAUUUAACAAAUAAAAUAUAUAUAAUUAUUAUUUAAUGAACCUAUUCGCGAGCCUAUUCGCGAACAUAUUCGUGAACCUAUUCGUGAGCCUUUUCGCAAACAUAUUCGCAGCCUAUUCGCGAAUGGCUCGCGAAUAGGUUCGAGCCGAACAUGUUCACGAGCUCACGAGCCGAACAUGCACAGGCUCGAGUUCGGCUCGAUAAUUUUAUCGAGCUCGGAUUCGGGCUCGAGUUCGGCUCGUUUAGAAAAUGAACGAAUUUCGAACGAGCUUUUUUCGAGCCGAGCCCCGAAUAGUUCACGAGCGGCUUGGUUCGUUUACACCCCUAGUUGCAAACACUACGAAUAAUUUUCCAACAUGAGGUAGGUGUAUUAAUUUAAAUAUGAUCACAAAAAUAUGAUCACAUUAAAAUAUGAUCUCAUAAUUAUAUAUAGGAUACUUUAUUAUUAGCUUUAUUGGCGUGCGUUUUCUUUUACGAAAAGUAGAGGAAGCCAUGUGUUUUCACACUUCUUUCAUAAUUUUCAAGUGGUUGAUUGCUCAUUCUUCAUAAUUACAAUCUUCGGUUGCUUUGUUUCUUGCUACAAUUCUUCCACACAAUUGCAUUCAAAAUCAUCAAUAGAUCGAUUUUACCAUUACAUUAUACACAUCUCUUCAAAUCAUUUACUAAAUUCUUGAAUGUGGUAUUGAAUGUUUCUGAAAUUGUAUCAAAACCAGCUGCCGCCGCCGAGAGGUAAGCAGAGAGCUGAGAUCUAUCAUUUGUUUCAUCUGCGUUUGCUUAUUAUAAUUCCUUCUUCUUCUUCUCCGUUUCUUUGUUAGGCGACUGAAUUUUAUUCUGGGCUAAUUGCAGUUUAGUUUAAGCUUCAUUUUGGAGGAAAAUUGCAGAGCUAAGCAAUUUCAUUUCAACAAUAUAUCGUAUCUCAGCUGAUAAUUUGGGUAUGGCGGCUUUUGGUGCGGCGGCUUCUCUCAAGAAUACGAUUCUGCGUAUUCUACAAUCGUCUCGCAUUUCUCUCGUUUCCCACUCUCCACUAAUUGGACGAGACCAGCAGCAGCAAGAUCAGGACAGAGGUGAAUGCUUUGGAUGAACUCAUAAAAGAGGCAGUUUGGGAAUUCGAAGAUUUACUCGAAUCCCAUAUCUUACCUCAGAUUCUUCCACAACUCCAAAGCGAGAGACACAACUUGUCAUUCUCUGUAGAUCUGCAAAGUUUGCAACACCAUGUUGAUUGCUUCGUCGAGAUGGUGAAGAUGAUGGAGGAAGAGUACACUAAUGAAAUGGAGAAUAUGGCUGAAGAAGAAGGCGAGCCUAUUUCCUCAAGAAUCGAUUUUGGUGGAAUCAACUCAAAGAUGGUUGGAAAAUCUUAUGCAUUUCAAGACGCCAGAGAUAAUCUUCUUGAAGAUAAACACUAUUCGAUUAUUGGGAUGGCGGGCGUUGGAAAGACAAAUCUUGCUAAACAUCUUUUUGAAGAUCCAUCAAUUCGGAGCCAUUUUGAGUUUCGAGCAUGGGUCAAAGUGGGCAGAAAAUGCGAGCCCAAUGAACUAUUACGCUGCGUUCUAGCUCAAGUGGAUCCCAACGCUUACCGAAUGCUUGCCCAAGGAGAUGAUGAUGAUGAGGAAUUAGUUGGACUAUUGAAAGAAAAAUUGCAGGAUAAGAAAUGUCUCAUCGUGUUGGAUGAUGUUUGGGAGACACAAGCAAUAAGUCGCAUGAUAAAUUGCUUGAAAGAAGGGAAUAUUCGUGGAGGGAUUGGAUACUUGCUUACAAGUAGACAACAAAUAACACUCCCGCAGCUUACGGGCAUAAGACUGAACUUGUUGAAUGAAGAAGAAAGUAAGAAAUUACUUGGUGAGAAGGUGUUUGGUGAGAAGGUGUUAGUGAAGACGGUUUCCCUCCCAACUUGAGAAUGGAGAGAAGAUUGCAGAAAUGUGAAGGCUUCCUCUUAUGAUAGUCACGUUGCAGAGCUCCUAUCAAAAGCCGACAAGACCCAGAAUAUGGACUGAGGUAGCCUGCAAACAACAAUCACUUUCGGGAGCAUAUAAUCAAAUAUCAGAGGUCUUUUCCCAAGUAUGACUAUUACCCCAACAUUUAAAAAUGUUUCCUCUAUAUGGGACUUUCCCUCCAUAUAUAUCAUACCACAUACACUUAUGUUGGUGCUGAGGCUUCUUAAUGAAUGUUGAAAAAGUUUGAGGUUUUGGGAAAAGCUUUCUAGGUAUCAUCUUGUUCUCGACACAAAAAUUGUGGUUGAAUAAGAGUAUCGCGUGCAUUCUGUUGGCAGCACUUUGUAAGGUAGAAGCUAGAGAUCAAGUUUCUACAUGUCUUACGAGGUUGUGAGAUGUAAAAAGACCAGCGCGCUUGUGUGCCCAUUACAACAGUUUAUUUGCUUCAAACAAGUGUAUGAUUCGAUAAAAAGUGAUUGUGCAUCCACUGCCCGUUCUCUCCUUUGUUUGGUCCUUAUCACCAUAUCCAAUCCCAAUACAUGCCAUGGGUUUCAAGUUGCUCAGGGUACUAUAUGCUCUUAGAGUUCGAUUUUACCAUAUCCCAAUUGAAAUUUUGAAACUUGUUUGUCUGCGGUACCUUGCCCUAAAUUGCAACGGGGAGCUCCCUCCUUCCAUAUCCAACCUUUUUCACCUUCAAUUCUUGAUUAUCGAUCCACAUAUGUACAUUAAAAAGCGUGGAGUUCAGUCUUAUAUGCCUGUGCAAAUUUGGGACAUGCAAGAACUAGAGCAUAUUCAGAUUUGGGGAAGGACCUACCAACCCCUAAUACUGAUGAUGCUACCUUGAACAAACUCAUCUCACUUGUUGGUGUGAGUGCAAACAGUUGUACAAGGGAAGUUCUCAAAAGAAUUCCUAAUUUAAAGGAAUUAAAUUGAAGUGGAGUUGAAGCCUUAUGAUGAUGAUGAUGAUGAAAGAAACCCAUUGAGUUGCUUGGGUUAUAUCUCCCAACUCCAGAAUUUGGAGAGACUUGAAUAUUGGGUUAACAAUCCCGAGAUAAAGUAUGAGUGUAAUACGAUUCCUCUUUCAAUGU
Molecule: long non-coding RNA, 8042 nt
Filed under: Salvia miltiorrhiza (redroot sage)
Lineage: Eukaryota; Viridiplantae; Streptophyta; Magnoliopsida; Lamiales; Lamiaceae
Description: long non-coding RNA (SMIL_LNC006081)
Source: RNAcentral